AAUAAAUCUCACCCUAGAGAUCCUCUUCUGGCUUACUGGAGAGGACUACACAGUAGUAAAGAAGACCUCUAGUGAGCGCUGUCAGGACCCUGUGUCUGAAGGAUGGGGAGGAACCCUGAGCCCAAUCAUGGGGCCUCCAUCUCGCCCCCUGAUGUAUGAGGAAAUCAAUAGAGAGAAGAUCCUAGAACUCGCCAACAAGAUGAUUGAGCUGCUGACUGGAGAGGUUCCUAUAAGGUGUCAGGAUGUUACCGUCUAUUUCUCCAUGGAGGAGUGGGAGUAUU
Molecule: long non-coding RNA, 281 nt
Organism: Bufo gargarizans (Asiatic toad)
Lineage: Eukaryota; Metazoa; Chordata; Amphibia; Anura; Bufonidae
Exons: 3
Source: RefSeq, a predicted model, not a curated record